AUUAGGUUUUGGGGCUAUGGUAAGGUUUAAGUUUUUUGGCGUUAGGGUUAAAAUCACUGUCCAAAACCUUUGUAGGAACUCUUUUCCAACCUUUUGGAGUUAGUUAGAACCAAAAAAUAUGAAAAAAGAAAAAAAUAUUAUUGGGGGUUUUCGGGCUCCCUGAAAGUAAUACCCGGGUAUUAGGUUUUGGGGCUAUGGUAAGGUUUAAGUUUUUUGGCGUUAGGGUUAAAAUCACUGUCCAAAACCUUUGUAGGAACUCUUUUCCAACCUUUUGGAGUUAGUUAGAACCAAAAAAUAUGAAAAAAGAAAAAAAUAUUAUUGGGGGUUUUCGGGCUCCUGAAAGUAAUACCCGGGUAUUAGGUUUUGGGGCUAUGGUAAGGUUUAAGUUUUUGGCGUUAGGGUUAAAAUCACUGUCCAAAACCUUUGUAGGAACUCUUUUCCAACCUUUUGGAGUUAGUUAGACCAAAAAAAAAUGAAAAAUGAAAAAAACAAUAUUUGGGGUUUUCGGGGUUCCUGAAUGUAAUACCCGGGUAUUAGAUUUUAAGGCUAGGGUAAGGUUUAAGUUUUUUGGCGUUAGGGUUAAAAUCACUGUCCAAAACCUUUGUAGGAACUCUUUUCCAACCUUUUGGAGUUAGUUAGACCAAAAAAAAUGAAAAAAAGAAAAAAAUAUUAUUGGGGGUUUUCGGGCUCCCUGAAAGUAAUACCCGGGUAUUAGGUUUUGGGGCUAUGGUAAGGUUUAAGUUUUUUGGCGUUAGGGUUAAAAUCACUGUCCAAAACCUUUGUAGGAACUCUUUUCCAACCUUUUGGAGUUAGUUAGACCAAAAAAAAAUGAAAAAUUAAAAAACAAUAUUUGGGGUUUUCGGGGUUCCUGAAUGUAAUACCCGGGUAUUAGAUUUUGGGGCUAGGGUAAGGUUUAAGUUUUUUGGCGUUAGGGUUAAAAUCACUGUCCAAAA
Xyrichtys novacula (pearly razorfish) is the source of this 953-nucleotide non-coding RNA. The record is from the annotation of a GenBank genome assembly. Lineage: Eukaryota; Metazoa; Chordata; Actinopteri; Labriformes; Labridae.